GACAUCUGCAUGGAAUGAACAAAGGCUGCU
This 30-nucleotide non-coding RNA is filed under the name Cricetulus griseus (Chinese hamster). The record is from RNAcentral. Lineage: Eukaryota; Metazoa; Chordata; Mammalia; Rodentia; Cricetidae.